AUUCCAGCUCCAAUAGCGUAUAUUAAAGUUGUUGCAGUUAAAAAGCUCGUAGUUGGAUUUGUGGUGUACUUCGGCGGCCCGUCACUAUGUGAUGGAGCUUGCUGAAGUCGCCAUCCUUGGGUGGAUCCUGUGUGGCAUUAAGUCGUCGUGCAGGGGAUGCCCAUCGUUUACUGUGAAAAAAUUAGAGUGUUCAAAGCAGGCUUAUGCCGUUGAAUAUAUUAGCAUGGAAUAAUAAGAUAGGACCUUGGUACUAUUUUGUUGGUUUGCGCACCAAGGUAAUGAUUAAUAGGGACAGUUGGGGGUAUUCGUAUUUCAUUGUCGGAGGUGAAAUUCUUGGAUUUUUGAAAGACGAACUACUGCGAAAGCAUUUACCAAGGAUGUUUUCAUCG
RNAcentral lists this ribosomal RNA (389 nucleotides) under Cylindrotheca sp. RNAcentral describes it as "partial small subunit ribosomal RNA". It matches the Rfam family "Eukaryotic small subunit ribosomal RNA", at positions 582 to 975 of the family's 1831-position model. Lineage: Eukaryota; Bacillariophyta; Bacillariophyceae; Bacillariales; Bacillariaceae. The record is from RNAcentral.